UACGUAGGGUGCGAGCGUUGUCCGGAAUUACUGGGCGUAAAGCGCUCGUAGGUGGUUUGUCGCGUUGUUCGUGAAAACCUGAGGCUUAACCUUGGGCGUGCGGGCGAUACGGGCAGACUGGAGUACUGCAGGGGAGACUGGAAUUCCUGGUGUAGCGGUGAAAUGCGUAGAUAUCUGGAGGAACACCGGUGGCGAAGGCGGCAUCCUGGACCGGUAUUGACGCUGAUGCGCGAAAGCCAGGGGAGCAAACGGG
This 253-nucleotide ribosomal RNA is filed under the name uncultured bacterium. Its description in RNAcentral is "partial 16S ribosomal RNA". It matches the Rfam family "Bacterial small subunit ribosomal RNA", at positions 524 to 776 of the family's 1533-position model. The record is from RNAcentral.